Molecule: ribosomal RNA, 492 nt
Filed under: uncultured bacterium
Lineage: Bacteria
Description: partial 16S ribosomal RNA
Rfam family: Bacterial small subunit ribosomal RNA
Source: RNAcentral
AGUGAACGCUGGCGGUAGGCCUAACACAUGCAAGUCGAACGGCAGCACAGUAAGAGCUUGCUCUUACGGGUGGCGAGUGGCGGACGGGUGAGGAAUACAUCGGAAUCUACUUUUUCGUGGGGGAUAACGUAGGGAAACUUACGCUAAUACCGCAUACGACCUACGGGUGAAAGCAGGGGAUCUACGGACCUUGCGCGAUUGAAUGAGCCGAGGUCGGAUUAGCUAGUUGGCGGGGUAAAGGCACACCAAGGCGACGAUCCGUAGCUGGUCUGAGAGGAUGAUCAGCCACACUGGAACUGAGACACGGUCCAGACUCCUACGGGAGGCAGCAGUGGGGAAUAUUGGACAAUGGGCGCAAGCCUGAUCCAGCCAUACCGCGUGGGUGAAGAAGGCCUUCGGGUUGUAAAGCCCUUUUGUUGGGAAAGAAAAGCAGCAGGUGAAUACCCCGCUGUUCUGACGGUACCCAAAGAAUAAGCACCGGCUAACUUCGUG